RNAcentral lists this ribosomal RNA (460 nucleotides) under uncultured bacterium. RNAcentral describes it as "partial 16S ribosomal RNA". It matches the Rfam family "Bacterial small subunit ribosomal RNA", at positions 338 to 795 of the family's 1533-position model. The record is from RNAcentral.
CCUACGGGUGACAGCAGUGAGGAAUAUUGGUCAAUGGGCGAGAGCCUGAACCAGCCAAGUCGCGUGAAGGAUGACGGCCCUACGGGUUGUAAACUUCUUUUGUCAGGGAGCAAUUGAGUCCACGUGUGCGCUUAGCGAGAGAACCUGAAGAAAAAGCAUCGGCUAAGUCCGUGCAAGCAGCCGCGGUAAUACGGAGGUUGCGAGCGUUAUCCGGUUUUAUUGGGUUGAAGGGGUGCGUAGGCGGGUAUUUAGGCCGGCGGUCAAAUGUCGGGUCUCAACCCCGUCCUGCCGUCGGAACUGGGUGCCUUGAGUGGGCGAGAAGUAUGCGGAAUGCGUGGUGUAGCGGUGAAAUGCAUAGAUAUCACGCAGAACCCCGAUUGCGAAGGCAGCAUACCGGCGCCCUACUGACGCUGAGGCACGAAAGUGCGGGUAUCGAACAGGAUUAGAUACCCUCGUAGUC